GGGUUUUUUCUCGGAGCUAGAGAAUGAAGCAGAGGAUAAGAAGAAGCAAUUCAUAGAAAAGUACAACUUCGAUAUUGUCAAUGACGAACCGCUUCAAGGUCGCUACAAGUGGGAUCGUCUACUUUAACCCAUGAUGAUGAUUAACAUCCGAAGGAAGAAGCUGAAGCUGAAGCUGCAGGACAUUUUUUUUUUUGUUUCUUCGUUUACAUAAUUCCACUUGUGUACAGCUCUGAUCUCUCUUUUAAAACCUAUGUUAAUUAGUAGCUCGUACAAACAAACAAAAAAACAAAAAAGAUACAACCUUUAUAAUGAAAUAUCGGAUCUUGAUUAGUUAA
Non-coding RNA from Camelina sativa (false flax), 335 nucleotides. The record is from RefSeq and is a predicted model, not a curated record. Lineage: Eukaryota; Viridiplantae; Streptophyta; Magnoliopsida; Brassicales; Brassicaceae.